GAUGAACGCUGGCGGCGUGCCUAAUACAUGCAAGUCGAGCGGACGGACGAGAAGCUUGCUUCUCUGACGUUAGCGGCGGACGUGUGAGUAACAUGUGGAUAACCUACCUAUAAGACUGGGAUCACUUGGGGACACGGGAGCUAACACCGGCUAAUCUCUUGAACCACAUGGUUCAAUAGUGAAAUACGGUCUUGCUGUCACUUAUAGAUGGAUCCGCGCUGCAUUAGCUAGUUGGUAAGGUAACGGCUUACCAAGGCAACGAUGCAUAGCCGACCUGAGAGGGUGAUCGGCCACACUGGAACUGAGACACGGCCCAGACUCCUACGGGAGGCAGCAGUAGGGAAUCUUGCGCAAUGGGCGAAAGCCUGACGGAGCAACGCCGCGUGAGUGAUGAAGGUCUUCGGAUCGUAAAACUCUGUUAUUAGGGAAGAACAGAUGUGUAAGUAACUGUGCAGAGCUUGACGGUACCUGAUCAGAAAGCCACGGCUAACUACGUG
RNAcentral lists this ribosomal RNA (497 nucleotides) under uncultured bacterium. RNAcentral's name for it is "partial 16S ribosomal RNA". It matches the Rfam family "Bacterial small subunit ribosomal RNA", at positions 28 to 507 of the family's 1533-position model. The record is from RNAcentral.